This is a non-coding RNA of Podarcis lilfordi (Lilford's wall lizard), 76 nucleotides long. Lineage: Eukaryota; Metazoa; Chordata; Lepidosauria; Squamata; Lacertidae. The record is from the annotation of a GenBank genome assembly.
GGGGCUGUGGCUCAGUGGCUACAGCGUCUGCACUGCGUGCCAAAGGCCCCGGGUUCAAUCCCCGCUGGCAGCAUCU